AUUUUCAAAACAUCUGGAGCAAGAGACAAAUCCCAUCAGCUCAGUUCCAACAAUAUAUGCAGAUGGGCAACUGAUGGUCAGACUCCAGUGGUUCUUCAAAACUUUCUAGGAGGUAAACAAGAUGAAAGGGAAAGCACACAAAUUUGCUGGAAUUUGGAAAACACGAACCCUGGAAUUUGGAGGAGUCACUUCCACUGGAAAAUACUUUUAUAUUAUUUAUAGUGGCUACCAUUACUGUGCUCACUUUACAGGUGAGGUUCAGAGAUUUAUGUAACAUGCCAAAGGUCACACAGCUGGACACAGCAGAACCAAGAUUCAAAUCUGCACAGCAGUAAAUGAAACCAGCCCAGCUGCGUGCUCACCUGAAACUUAUUUUCUCCUUCACGUUCCAAACUCAUGACUUGCUUGUGGCAGAAAAAAAGAACUACUUCGGGGUCCGCAACCCCUGGCAGUGGACCGGUACCAGCCCAUGGCCAGUUAGGAUCUGGGUGACACAGCAGCAGGGCCAUUUCAGUCCACGGAGGAAUGGGACACAUAGGUGACC
This 544-nucleotide long non-coding RNA is filed under the name Pan troglodytes (chimpanzee). RNAcentral's name for it is "lincRNA". Lineage: Eukaryota; Metazoa; Chordata; Mammalia; Primates; Hominidae. The record is from RNAcentral.